CACCCACAUCUUCCCCGCCACCCACGUAGAAGACCUGGAUGGAGUUCUGCUCCCCUGGCUUUGGCCUGCCCCACCCUCCACUGUGGCAGUUCCAGCCACCACUUCUCCAGGAACCCCAGUUCUACAGCCCCCCGGAGGCAGAGGCCGCAGAUGGAGGCCAGCAGUGGAGACUGGUUUCUUGUGGGAGGGACUUGAACCAAGCCUCCGAGGACCUGGCCAGCUCGGCUGAAGGUCCUGGAUGUGGCAGGUGCAUCCUGGCAGAGGGAGCAUUUUGAUGGACAGG
Molecule: long non-coding RNA, 283 nt
Organism: Lepus europaeus (European hare)
Lineage: Eukaryota; Metazoa; Chordata; Mammalia; Lagomorpha; Leporidae
Exons: 3
Source: RefSeq, a predicted model, not a curated record